This 354-nucleotide ribosomal RNA is filed under the name uncultured Racocetraceae. RNAcentral's name for it is "bacterial SSU rRNA". It matches the Rfam family "Eukaryotic small subunit ribosomal RNA", at positions 569 to 929 of the family's 1831-position model. Lineage: Eukaryota; Fungi; Glomeromycota; Glomeromycetes; Diversisporales; Gigasporaceae. The record is from RNAcentral.
AGCUCCCGCGGUAAUUCCAGCUCCAAUAGCGUAUAUUAAAGUUGUUGCAGUUAAAAAGCUCGUAGUUGAAUUUCGGGGUUCUACCGUUGGUCGGGCUUCGUCUGUACUGGCGUGUAGAAUUUCUACCUUCUGGGGAACCAUCAUGUUAUUAAUUUAACGUGGUGGGAAACCAGGACCUUUACCUUGAAAAAAUUAGAGUGCUUCAGGCAGGCCUAUGCUCGAAUACAUUAGCAUGGAGUAAUAGAAUAGGACGUGUGGUUCUAUUUUGUUGGUUUCUAGGACCGCCGUAAUGAUUAAUAGGGGCAGUCGGGGGCAUCAGUAUUCAAUUGUCAGAGGUGAAAUUCUUGGAUUUAU